RNAcentral lists this ribosomal RNA (406 nucleotides) under uncultured bacterium. Its description in RNAcentral is "partial 16S ribosomal RNA". It matches the Rfam family "Bacterial small subunit ribosomal RNA", at positions 30 to 526 of the family's 1533-position model. The record is from RNAcentral.
AUUGAACGCUGGCGGCAGGCCUAACACAUGCAAGUCGAACGAGUGGCGGACGGGUGAGUAAUGUCUGGGCAACUGCCCGAUGGCGGGGGAUAACUACUGGAAACGGUAGCUAAUACCGCAUACCAUCGGAUGUGCCCAGAGGGGAUUAGCUAGUAGGUGGGGUAACGGCUCACCUAGGCGACGAUCCCUAGCUGGUCUGAGAGGAUGACCAUCAACACUGGAACUGAUACACGGUCCAGAGUCCUACGGGAGGCAGCAGUGGGGAAUAUUGCACAAUGGGCGCAAGCCUGAUACAGCCAUGCAGCGUGUAUGAAGAAGGCCUUCGGGUUGUAAAGUACUUUCAGCGAGGAGGCGUUACUCGCAGAAGAAGCACCGGCUAACUCCGUGCCAGCAGCCGCGGUAAUUC